GGGCUUCUGCGAAGUUGGUGAUGGCUGGCGAAGUUAGAGCCAACACGAGAACGUUUGGGAGGCCGAUGCGAGGGACCUUAUCAAGGUAGGCCCCGCCCAGGGAGCGGGGAAACCGACGAUAAGGGCUAGGCCACCCACCUGGAGCAAUCCAGGUUCAACUGUCGCCACCACACGGCCAAGCGGAAGCCCC
This 190-nucleotide non-coding RNA is filed under the name Blastocatellia bacterium. RNAcentral describes it as "6S RNA". It matches the Rfam family "6S / SsrS RNA". From Rfam's summary of the family: E. coli 6S RNA was the first non coding RNA to be sequenced, but its function was unknown until recently. It consists of 184 nucleotides that fold into an extended hairpin structure with a large single-stranded internal bulge. The record is from RNAcentral. Lineage: Bacteria; Pseudomonadati; Acidobacteriota; Blastocatellia.